Molecule: ribosomal RNA, 449 nt
Filed under: Trupanea trypaneodes
Lineage: Eukaryota; Metazoa; Arthropoda; Insecta; Diptera; Tephritidae
Description: partial large subunit ribosomal RNA
Source: RNAcentral
AAUGAAUAAGUUUAAAUGGCCGCAGUAUUUUGACUGUGCAAAGGUAGCAUAAUCAUUAGUCUUUUAAUUGAAGGCUUGAAUGAAUGGUUGGACGAAGUAUAAUCUGUUUCAUUUAAAUUUAUUGUAGAAAUUUAUAUUUUAGUAAAAAAGCUAAAAUAUUUUUAAAAGACGAGAAGACCCUAUAAAUCUUUAUAUUUUAUUUUAUUUUUAUUUUUUAGAUUAAUUUUAUUUAAAUAAUUUAAAUUAUUUGGUUGGGGUGAUAUUAAAAUUUAAUAAACUUUUAAUUUAUUGAUUUCAUUGAUUUAUGUUUUAUUGAUCCAUUUAUAAUGAUUAAAAGAACAAGUUACUUUAGGGAUAACAGCGUAAUUUUUUUGGAGAGUUCUUAUUGAUAAAAAAGUUUGCGACCUCGAUGUUGGAUUAAGAUAUAAUUUUAGGUGUAGUUGCUUAAA